CGGACGGGUGAGUAACACGUGGAUAACCUACCUAUAAGACUGGGAUAACUUCGGGAAACCGGAGCUAAUACCGGAUAAUAUAUUGAACCGCAUGGUUCAAUAGUGAAAGACGGUUUUGCUGUCACUUAUAGAUGGAUCAGCGCCGCAUUAGCUAGUUGGUAAGGUAACGGCUUACCAAGGCAACGAUGCGUAGCCGACCUGAGAGGGUGAUCGGCCACACUGGAACUGAGACACGGUCCAGACUCCUACGGGAGGCAGCAGCC
RNAcentral lists this ribosomal RNA (263 nucleotides) under uncultured Staphylococcus sp. RNAcentral describes it as "partial 16S ribosomal RNA". It matches the Rfam family "Bacterial small subunit ribosomal RNA", at positions 99 to 355 of the family's 1533-position model. The record is from RNAcentral. Lineage: Bacteria; Bacillati; Bacillota; Bacilli; Caryophanales; Staphylococcaceae.